AUACAGCUCGUCACCACGCGUUCAUCGCGUCGAGUCGACUCAAAGGAAGAGGGUGGAUGGAAAGCAGGCUAGUUGGUGAGAAAGGAGGUGGAACAAUCGGGCAAAUUUCCUCUGCUACGACUGAUUAUAGCAUUGGUUAGAUUUGAAUACGAGUUCGCAAAGAAGAUUCCUUGCCACGAUGUUAAGUCGAAUGCAGAGAUAAAUGUAGAGGAGAAUCGAAUGGAUAUAUAAUUUUUCGUUCUCAAUUUGUGAUCCAGUUUCCAAACUCAUCAGGCUAAUGGUCGAUGUUAUAAUUAUCGAUGCUUGGACGAAAUGUUAUUUUUGGCAUCGUUCGUGUGGAGUAUGCCGAGACGACAAAUCAUUUUCGAUCACGAGGAAAUAGUAAAUGCUAAUCGAACAAAUCCUUCUCAAGCUUUCAGUUUCCAAUUUUAGUGAGAGAAUUCAACGAAGUUGUAACAUGAACUAAAAAAUAUCAUAGAUCAAAGCAAGAAGUAUAAUUUUAAAUUUUGUAGAUUAACAAUAUAUCAAUGCAAAAUUGGACGUUCCAAUUUUUAUACAAAUUUUGAUUAUAAAAUAUUAGCCGGAUCGCCGUAAUGAGAAUACAAAAGGACGACGAGGGAUAGCACUGGUCAUAAUUUAUCGUUGGCAUUUCUCAUUGUCGUCUGUCUCUGUUCCACGCUUUGAAAAAUAAGAAAAACGCGCGACACGCGUUCGAAAGUUGAAAAGAUAUAAAUUAGUAUAAUUUCGCGCCUCGAAUUUUUCUCACUUUAGUAACAAAAUAAAGUCUUUUGUUACUUUCUUCGAUUAUCACCAAGGAUAUUUCACUAUGUUUAAUCACACAGCUAAAUAAAUAUAAUGAUUCCAAAAGCUUUUAAACGCAUCAAGGUUGAUCCUGUUUCAUGCCCUUCAUACGUAAUAUGAAACGGUGUUUAAUUUGAAGAUUUCAUGCAACGAAUUUUUGUUUUCUUUUUACAAACUUAAAUGGCUUAAAAUAUUUUAAUGGAAAAAGGAAUGAACGUGGUAUUUGUUUACAGAGAAAACGAAAUGUGCGAAUGUGUCUGCAAAGUCUAAGUUUUUAAAUAUUCAUAUGGAAUAAACCGGCUUAUCAUUCUUCUA
Molecule: long non-coding RNA, 1116 nt
Organism: Apis mellifera (honey bee)
Lineage: Eukaryota; Metazoa; Arthropoda; Insecta; Hymenoptera; Apidae
Exons: 5
Source: RefSeq, a predicted model, not a curated record